Long non-coding RNA from Gallus gallus (chicken), 1131 nucleotides. Lineage: Eukaryota; Metazoa; Chordata; Aves; Galliformes; Phasianidae. The record is from Ensembl.
GGAAAGACUGUUAUCAGGGGGAAAAUUGCAUUUUAGUUUCUGCAAAAUGGCAAAGAAUGAAAAAAACAUGAAGUAAAGUCUGUUUCAUAUUCAGCUAAGGCAAGGGACCCAGGGUGGCCAAGGUUGCAAAUCCAAAUAAAGAGAAAAUUUCCUAUUGGUUUAAUUCCUAACUGUUUUGACCUCUUACAGCAGGGUUAAAUUUAGCCCUUUGUUCUAAUGCAGAGUAAGACACUGUGAGCAGAGAUGAGCUAACUACUUAAUUUAGUUUCAUAGGGGUUGAUGUAAAGGUUUGCCUUGCGCACAAUUUCCCGCUUCCUACAUCCCAAGCUAAUUCCACUUCAAGCCCCAUGGGGGCUUAGCACCUGAAUGAACAUAGCAUCUCACAAGUCAAAUAAAUAAGAAGAAAAGAAUGAAAGAUUGAAUUUAAAGAGAAUGAAAAACAUUUUUCCUUGUCUGAAGAUAUGGACCCUUCCAGUUUUGCCUGCACUGAAUAUUAUUGAGCAGAAAAAGACUGCACUAUAAUGAUUGCUUAUCUCUGUCUUUUCUCUAUUUCCCUUGAACAGUGGUUGGGAGUUUUCAUUUCCUAUGUCAUUUAUAACGUGCAGAGUUUUGUAUCUUUGUUUUCGUUUGUUGUGUGUGUGUGUUGUGAAAAGAGGGCCCGCUACAUUCUUCAUCACUCUUCCUUAUCCCAGCCACUAUUAAUGUUAAAGUCACAAUUUCUUCCUAAAAUACAGUGCAUUCUGACAGAGCUGGAUGACUUGCAAAGUUGUGUACAGACUGAAACGUUCCUUAACACCUGGUCACUGAUCUGAAGCUUGUCUAUAACUAUGGUAAACUUAGGCAAAGUAACAUCUGUAGUUUUGUAAGCAUACGCAGAGUGAGAAACCACUUCCAAAAAUGCCUUUAUCUGGCAACUUCAGAAAAUCAAGCACUCCAUAAUGGUCUUAAAAUCCAAGCCAACCUCUAACUCAUAAAAAUGGUCUUUCUAGGUCAGGGUUAUGGCACAUUGGCAAACAUAUGUCAAAUGCGCUCCACAGUACCUGCCCUGUUCUAUUCAUUAUCUAAGAAUGUCCAUCUGGAAUUGUAGAAAUGACCACAAUUCUUGUGUUUUUUUUUUUUCCAUUCUGGUCC